Molecule: ribosomal RNA, 117 nt
Filed under: Nannospalax galili (Upper Galilee mountains blind mole rat)
Lineage: Eukaryota; Metazoa; Chordata; Mammalia; Rodentia; Spalacidae
Source: RNAcentral
GGCCAUGGCCAUGCCACCCUGAGCAUGCUCAGUCUCUUCAGAUCCCAGAAGCUAAUCUGAGCCAGGCCUAGUUAGUACUUGGAUAGGAGACAAGAACUUGCAAUGUAGCCCAGGCUG